CCUACGGGUGGGCAGCAGUAGGGAAUCUUCCACAAUGGACGAAAGUCUGAUGGAGCAACGCCGCGUGAACGAUGAAGGCCUUCGGGUCGUAAAGUUCUGUUGUAAGGGAAGAACAAGUGCCGCAGGCAAUGGCGGCACCUUGACGGUACCUUGCGAGAAAGCCACGGCUAACUACGUGCCAGCAGCCGCGGUAAUACGUAGGUGGCAAGCGUUGUCCGGAAUUAUUGGGCGUAAAGCGCGCGCAGGCGGCCUCUUAAGUCUGAUGUGAAAGCCCCGGCUCAACCGGGGAGGGCCAUUGGAAACUGGGAGGCUUGAGUAUAGGAGAGAAGAGUGGAAUUCCACGUGUAGCGGUGAAAUGCGUAGAGAUGUGGAGGAACACCGGUGGCGAAGGCGACUCUUUGGCCUAUAACUGACGCUGAGGCGCGAAAGCGUGGGGAGCAAACAGGAUUAGAUACCCUAGUAGUCC
This 466-nucleotide ribosomal RNA is filed under the name Escherichia coli. RNAcentral's name for it is "bacterial SSU rRNA". It matches the Rfam family "Bacterial small subunit ribosomal RNA", at positions 338 to 796 of the family's 1533-position model. The record is from RNAcentral. Lineage: Bacteria; Pseudomonadati; Pseudomonadota; Gammaproteobacteria; Enterobacterales; Enterobacteriaceae.